RNAcentral lists this ribosomal RNA (441 nucleotides) under uncultured bacterium. Its description in RNAcentral is "partial 16S ribosomal RNA". It matches the Rfam family "Bacterial small subunit ribosomal RNA", at positions 338 to 795 of the family's 1533-position model. The record is from RNAcentral.
CCUACGGGAGGCAGCAGUGGGGAAUAUUGCACAAUGGGGGAAACCCUGAUGCAGCGACGCCGCGUGAGUGAAGAAGGAUCUCGGUAUGUAAAGCUCUAUCAGCAGGGAAGAAGAAAGACGGUACCUGACUAAGAAGCCCCGGCUAACUACGUGCCAGCAGCCGCGGUAAUACGUAGGGGGCAAGCGUUAUCCGGAUUUACUGGGUGUAAAGGGAGCGUAGACGGCUGGGCAAGUCUGAAGUGAAAGCCCAGGGCUCAACCCUGGGACUGCUUUUGAAACUGUGGAGCUGGAGUGCUGGAGAGGUAGGUGGAAUUCCUGGUGUAGCGGUGAAAUGCGUAGAUAUUAGGAGGAACACCAGUGGCGAAGGCGGCUUACUGGACAGUAACUGACGUUGAGGCUCGAAAGCGUGGGGAGCAAACAGGAUUAGAUACCCUUGUAGUC